Molecule: long non-coding RNA, 2101 nt
Organism: Herpailurus yagouaroundi (jaguarundi)
Lineage: Eukaryota; Metazoa; Chordata; Mammalia; Carnivora; Felidae
Exons: 3
Source: RefSeq, a predicted model, not a curated record
AGGCCAGGCUACCAAUGAAGUCAGAGUGCAUUUUCCUUGUAAAUAGAGCGUCGAAUGCUUGGUUUCUGCUGCAGAUGGCCAGACUGCACUACUUUCAGACAAAUCUCUGUGCAGCACGUGAAAAUGUGGGAAGAACGGGAGGAAAUCUGUGAUUUUAAUAAAGCGUUGGUACACCAAAACCCCCUCUCAGGGAGGUUUAGGAGAGCUAUGCCCCAGGCCGGUCACCAGAGGGCAAGACGCAAAGGAGGGCGAGAUACAAAAGGUCUGAAUCCUUACAUACUUAGGAAGAACUUUGGGAUGAGAAUGGAUUAUAUGAUGAGAAAUAAUUUUCCGGGUUCAGAAUUUCCUGAGGGUUCAUGCAAAAUGUUAACCCAGUGGGCUGGGCUUGAGCAUCAUACAUAUGCUGACUUAGAAUCUGGCUUGGUCAUUUGCAGCUCCGUGGCUUUGAGCAAAGGAAUUAUUCGCUGAAGCUUAGUUUCCACAUCUAUUAAGUGAGAUCGUGGUACCUGCCUCAAGGAAUUAUUGUCAAGUUUCCAAAUGAGUUGAGGCUACCUCAGACCUCUCUCCAAUAUAGUUACAGCCCAAACAAUAAAUACAGGUAGAAAUGUUUAAAACGACCAUAACAUACCUUAAUAUGAUUUGGGGCACCUGUUGAAUAUAUUAGGGAAACUGGAGGAUGGAAAAUAGUGCAGUCAUUAAGGGUGAGAAUGGGGUUUAUCUGUAUAGAGGGACACGGAAAGGAUGCUCAUAAUAUAGAAACUGAAAGAAAAGCAGGUUGCAAAAGAAUGUGACCUCUUUGCUCCGGCCACUAGGCUCAAGACCUUUACGUACAAUGAACCACAUAUUACAGUAGUGUUCCAUUGUUGUCCCCCCUCACGUUGUUAUCCCCGCAUUUUACAGAUGAGAAAACUCAGAACGGUCAAGAUUAAGUAAUAACCCCCAACUCUGUCACUGUACAGAGUGACAAAGUGGAGCUCUGUACCAUGGUCCCUCUGAUUCUCAGCCCUUGCCUUCUGUGCCUUUCCACGAGCCCUGAGGUGAAGAUGGGGAACAGAAGAUGCCAUUGUCCACGGAGAAGCCGAUGGAUGGCUGUGCACAUGGAGUGAUGGAGUUCUCUCAAGUCAAGAGGAUAUUUUUCUUCCCAUCUUCCCUUUGAGCAGAUUAUACCAACAGGCCCAACAGCCUGCUCCCAGUAGACAGAAUCUUGCCGAGAUUCCGUGGGCGAAGACAGGACCCGGACCACGCCUUCGGAGAGAAAUUUGACAGGCUUUCUGUCAAUUUCACAGCGUGCAUCACUUCUGACCCAGCACACUCGAGGUCUGUGAAUAUGCCAGAGUUAGCCCGGCACAUCUGCCUGUGAGACACGCGGAAAGAUGUUCCUUGCAGAAUCAGUGGACUGUCUGAAUACAUGUGGCAAUUCAUCUGCUGGAACACAGUAUCAUCAUCAAAAGCUGCGGAAAGAGAUGAGACAGACGGGUAGAUCUUUAACAACUAAACAAGCUGCAGAAUACUGCCGGCAGCAUGAGACCAUUUAUGUGAAAGCUGAAAGCACAACGCUCAUCUUGUUCAAGGAUUCAUGUGUAUGCGAUGCAAAGGAAUAAAAACUGGGCUAGAAAGACACCAAACAGUGGUUAGCUUUAGGAAGAAGGGAGGUGACCGGCCUGGAAGAGGAGACAGAAGAAUCUGUAGUUUUACUUGCCAAUGUUUUAUUUCUUCUGUUUUUGUUUUUUUUUUUAACGAAAACCAAACAUGGGACCUCAUAACAACUACUCUAGGAAGGGGCCACUUCUAUGUGUGUUUCAGGAUUCUCUGCCCUUUCCCCCACUUUUUAGAGGUUUCAGAAUGUGAGAAAUGUGAGGAAGAAAGCACAGCAAAAGCAGGGGGAGGAAGAAGGGAAGGAGGCAGCUCUGUAGCGCGUCUGGUGGGUUUGAAAAUCCAACUAAGAGCCAUGGCGACUAUCACAAGGGCGUCCAAAUGGACUGAAAAACAUCCAAAGCAGCAGUAGUGAACCAAACAACGAAUUCAUCUAAAUAUAUUUGAAAAUAAUGAUAUCCCUUUUUAGUAUUAAAAAUAAAAGCCUUUGGGGCACCUGGGUGGUUUA